GCCUAGAGGUCAGCUCCUGCACGCUACGCAGCUAUUACGGCAAUUGUUCUCAAUUCUUAUGUUUUAUUUUACCGAAAAAAGUUUAUUUUUUAGGUUUGCGUUGAGUUAUACAAAGUAUCGAGUUUAUCAGCAACUUUUGCUGAAGAAACGGGACACAGAGAGGACAUUUACCGGCUCAUGACAUCUUUGCGACUUGUCUUGCGGACCAUGGUUGGAGGAAAACAACCAUCAGCAACAAUGUCUGAAAGCAGCGACGUUUUCACUCACUAGACCUGAAGAAGCAGUCUGCCCCACCCCCACCCCACACCCCCUCCCGUGGACAAUAAAGUGUGGACCAUGUUUAGCUGCAGACAUUUGCUAUGAGUGAAACGGCACCGUACAGUCUGUGCACUACAACCUUCAAAUAUGACUUCUACAGAUCUGUCAUCAUGGAACAUCCAGGGAACAUUCAGGAUGCUAGAGGCGGAGACUAACAACAAAUUACAAUGGAUGUGAGAAGUAGUUGUUUUCUUUCAUUUAUUUAUUACUUUAUUUUAUUUUAUUUUGAAACAAAUGGAGUAUUGCAUUGUAGGAUCACAUGCUAACUACUGAAUCCAUAUUUGUUUACAUCUACAAUAUACAUUUAUGUCCCAAUCUUAAACAUUUUUAACAUUUAAAACUAAAGAAAUAAUCAAAAUUGAAUAACAUCUUGAAAGUGACAUGUAGUGAUUGCUGAAUAGACAGCUGCAAAGCCACAUUAACACACAAUGUAAAAGAUGUUGUAUUACUUUAUCAUUUGUCAGCAUCAUUAUUAUUUAUUACAUUUUAUUGUCAGCUGUUGUCAGCGUUUUUGUUGGUUAUUUACUUUAUUUGAUGUACAAUUAAAUCACUAUUGAGCAAGAGGAAAAUUUCCUGUGAUUAUGAGCUUUUUCGCAUUUUAAUUCAUUUUGAAUUUAAAUAGAGGCUGAUAUAACCCCCUUGCAUCGAUCUGAGGUAAACACUGUCUGAACUGCUUAUCAGUAGAUGCCAAGGCUAUCCAGGAACAGUCUUGACGUUCAAGUUGAACGUUUACAGAAAGCAUGACUUAGAUUUCACUGUUUACUUUCUGUGGGUUCAAACUUACGUAAGCUUUGGAGUCAGACCUCAGAGUGGAACUUACCCAUAGCUCACCCUCCCCUACAGGUGCAUGUGAUGAGUUUAUGAAUAGCUGUGAUGUUGACAUGUUGGAAGUGCUCUGACAGGUGCGUCAUAACUCUUUGACACUGAUUCUCGUCACUCCAGCAGCACAUCAGUCAUACCUGCGGUCCUGCUGUUGCUUUUAGGGUUAAUAUGAGAAUCUGUCGCCAGAAGGCAGGCACAAAAACAAACAGGUAGAUCAAAAUCAGGGUGGUUAUUGCUGUGUAAGAUCUAUAUAGGGGAUUUGUACAGUAAUUUGUAUAGAGCCUUUUGCCUCUGGCUGAAUUUGACAGAACAGGCAAAACGUGCUAAUCCUACAUGAGGAGGUGGUGCAACUUUAUCUUUGUGUCAGGACUUGUUUUGCAUUGCAUGUUGUCAACAAUGAUUGGCUUGUUAACCUGUACAUCAAAGGUCAUUUAAAUACAGAAAAUAAAUGCUGAAAGUUUUGUAAAAUGCAGUAUACUGUAUGUAUAAUUUGUCAUGUCAACCAAUAACUGGGAAAUAAACGAGUAAAAUACCUAUGCUUAGAGCAGAUUGAAGGACACACAUCGAUACUGUUAAGCCUAUAGCCUACAGCUUACAUACAGUAUAGUAGCACUUCCCAAACAGUGGGGAAAGAGAAAAAAUAAACACA
Long non-coding RNA from Seriola aureovittata, 1789 nucleotides. RefSeq lists it as uncharacterized. The transcript has 3 exons. The record is from RefSeq and is a predicted model, not a curated record. Lineage: Eukaryota; Metazoa; Chordata; Actinopteri; Carangiformes; Carangidae.